CUGCAUUUUAGACAGGAAGAGGAGGAAGUCCACAGAAUCAAAGAGCAUCUGCCAGUGGCCAAGGAACAUAAUUAAAGGGGAGCUUUCUUGAAGGAACUGCUUGACAAUCUUUACUCAUAUUGAGUGGAUCAGAGUAGAGCUGCAUCAGUCUACCAGGGAGGCAAAGAAAUGUAGUCAAAAACUCUGACCACAGUGCUCCUCCAAUAAGUUAGACCACUAUGAGAAGGGAAGAAAAUGCAACAUGAGAUUGACUAGUGCAUAUAGUCCUGUUGGCGAGACCAACAUGGCCACAACUGGUCCCAGUGCAACACAUCACAAGGCGAGAUGGACAUGGAUGAAAUGAAUUGAGGAAGCAGAGAGAAAACUAUGGCUAAAUGAGCCUGGGGAAGUCUGAGAAGACUGUAGAGGAACAGAUAAUGCCAGCUGAGUUGUGUUUUAGUAAGUAUUUCUCAGGCCAAUUUAGAGAGAAAUAAUAACUUCUGUGUUUGUAAACUACUCCCAAUGAAAACUGAGUGGUGACAUACUGGACCUCACUCCAAAUUUAAUUUUUAAAGAAAGGAGCCACAAGUAAAAGUAAUUUAAAAUACAACAUUAUAGGGCACAGUAUUGAUAAAUGAGAGGAAAACUGAUUCUUAAAGAGUGUACCACUCAUUGACCAUGCCCUGAAAUUAACUGAGAGCUCAUUUGUCAAGAGUGUACCUACCCUAGAGAAAAUUUUUCCAAUUAACAUCAAAAGCGAUCACUCUUAACCUCUCAUGCAUUAAGAGAUUCUUGUCUGCACCCAAUGUUCUGUUCAUAAUCAAUGGAG
RNAcentral lists this long non-coding RNA (808 nucleotides) under Fukomys damarensis (Damara mole-rat). RNAcentral's name for it is "lncRNA (ENSFDAG00000032837.1)". The record is from RNAcentral. Lineage: Eukaryota; Metazoa; Chordata; Mammalia; Rodentia; Bathyergidae.